ACUCACUAUUCCUGAAGAAUCGCCGACUCCUUCUCCUGCUUAACUCCACCCUCUUCGACGGAGCCUCUCCAUUGAGCUUUGAGAUCCGGUCAAGUAGCACACCACGCCAGCGAUUCUGUGGGGGGCACUGAGAUCGGACGCCGAGACCUCCGAUGACCUUACCGGCGACGCUAACAUCGCGCGAGGGCUUCCAGAGGUGGCAUGGGGAGGGGAAAGAAAAAUACACUUCUAUACGAUGGUAUGAGAUCCGUGAGGUAGUGGAUAGGGGCUUGGGAGAGUUUCAUAUGCAUGCCGAUGAUGUUCGAUUUGUUGAAUGAGUUGCGAUUUGAUGUUUCUGUGCUAUCCUAGUUUCAUCUUGCAUUUUUUCCCGAUUUCUACAAAAGAUGGGGAUGUUUUGAUGGCAAUCGAUGUUGUACAUGCUUCCUCUUCAUAGAUUGAGUUUUUGAAUUAGAGUUCUUGGUGGUUCUGGUUGGUUCCGAUGGUGUCUGCACCUUCCUAUUGUUCGGCUAGUUUCCAUUGGGUUCUUGUGAUUCCUGGUGCUUUAAGUUUUGAUUGGUGAAGCUCUAAUUUUCUUAUGGUAACGAAAUCGUUAGUCGGAUUUGAAUUGGUGCGCUGAUGUUUUCUCUCCUCCAUGCUUCUUACGAAUGCUUUCAAGGUUUGGAAAAUUAUCCCCCAGUAGCAUAAGCUUCAAUUAGAAUCAGUUGUUGGCUCUUUUGUUUUCUGAAUUGCUGUGGAAUUUUUAAGGAUUUACUCGAUGGAGUUUUGUUCCUAUGUGGAUUUUAGUUCGAGGAUGUUCUAUUUAUGGAAUAGCUAUAUGGAUUUGGUGUCCUCGAUUUUUCAUUCCAGAUAGCUGCGACUUGUGGAAGAAUCUGAUAGGUGGUAGUGUGAAUUCGAUGGGAUUCUUGCUCCUUGUGUUAGUUUGAGAUUCUUUUUCCUGACGAACAACUAUCAAGACAGUAAGUUUGAUUGUGGUGUUCUUGAGUUUCCUUUCGCAUUAACUAUGAUUCUGUGGAUUGAUCAAGUAGAUUGUUACAUGAGUUCAAAGUGGUUUUGCUUCUUGUGUUGGCUUCAGAUCUUUUUGUUGGAUAGGUAGCAUGACCCUGAAUUUGGUUUUGGUAGUACUCCUAUGCUUCUGUGAGGGUAACCAGGUGCUGAUUUAGAAUUGUUUGCAGGUAUUUUUAAAGUGUUGAAUUCGGUUUUAUCUUUCCUUUUGGGUAUGCAUGCUACUGUUAUUUUCUUUCAAGUAGGUAGGUAGGUUUAUAGAAGGGAUGAAAUGGACAAUUGAUUAAAGCAUAAUGAAGUGUGUAUGCCCACAUGUGGAGACAGUACGGGUUGGGUGCCUCGGGAUGAGCUCCGAGGAGGGUCCUUCCAAACUUGACUGAUAAUGUAAUUUAUGUUAGCUUCGGCUAAAUGACUGCAUGUUCUCCUAGAAGGUACCUUCAGGGUCAUGAUUAUGGACUAAAUGACUAGUUCAAAUGAUGGUUACCACAUGUGUGAUAUAUUCACCCUUGUUCCAUAAACUCAUGACGUUUAUGAUACAAGCAAGAGAGACACCUCUCAAGUGGCAAAAGACGAAAUCGUUCGCCCCUAACGCCCCCGUCGCACCCGACCCCAGGCCAUCACGAGGGAGGUAAAUCACGGCAGCCGAGAGGGUAAGUGGUGGUGGGGUGAGUUGCACAGGGUAUGAGGAUUUACGCCUCGACAAAACUGCAGUUCGACCCCGUGACUUCAUGUGGCAAGCAUGCCACCACUUACCAUCUCGGAUGACCCGUGGGGUCGAGAGAGAUACCUCUCAAGAAAUUUUGGAAGGCAUGCACGUGGAGUAGGCGAGGAGACAGGAUGGAAUCAUGACAUAUUGUCCAGGGAUUUCUAGGAGAUGGUGAGAACAUGGGUUAUUGUUAAUUGGAUUCUAUCAUGAGGUUAUGUGUGUGUGGCUCUCUUUAUUGUUGCUAGCACUUGUUAAAUAACAGAUCUGUUGAGAUUUGAACUUAUCACCUUUACUUGGAAACUGUGUGAUUUGAAUGUGAUGCACUCCUUUAUGUGUC
Molecule: long non-coding RNA, 2045 nt
Organism: Zingiber officinale
Lineage: Eukaryota; Viridiplantae; Streptophyta; Magnoliopsida; Zingiberales; Zingiberaceae
Exons: 2
Source: RefSeq, a predicted model, not a curated record